This 500-nucleotide ribosomal RNA is filed under the name uncultured bacterium. Its description in RNAcentral is "partial 16S ribosomal RNA". It matches the Rfam family "Bacterial small subunit ribosomal RNA", at positions 30 to 523 of the family's 1533-position model. The record is from RNAcentral.
AUUGAACGCUGGCGGCAUGCCUUACACAUGCAAGUCGAACGGCAGCGCGGACUUCGGUCUGGCGGCGAGUGGCGAACGGGUGAGUAAUGUAUCGGAACGUGCCCAGUAGCGGGGGAUAACUACUCGAAAGAGUAGCUAAUACCGCAUACGCCCUACGGGGGAAAGGGGGGGAUCGCAAGACCUCUCACUAUUGGAGAGGGCGAUAUCGGAUUAGCUAGUUGGGGAGGUAAAGGCUCACCAAGGCGACGGUCCGUAGCUGGUUUGAGAGGACGAGCAGCCAACCUGGGACUGAGACACGGCCCAGCCUCACACGGGAGGCAGCAGUGGGGAAUUUUGGACAAUGGGGUCAACCCUUAUCCAGCCAUUCCGCGUGUGCGAUGAAGGCCUUCGGGUUGUAAAGAACUUUUGGCAGGAAAGAAAUCGCACGGAUUAAUACGCUGUGUGGAUGACGGUACCUGCAGAAUAAGCACCGGCUAACUACGUGCCAGCAGCCGCCGUAA